AGCAGUAGCCGCGGUAAUGCGUAGGUGGCAAGCGUUGUCCGGAAUUAUUGGGCGUAAAGCGCGCGCAGGUGGUUUAAUAAGUCUGAUGUGAAAGCCCACGGCUCAACCGUGGAGGGUCAUUGGAAACUGUUAAACUUGAGUGCAGGGGAGAAAAGUGGAAUUCCUAGUGUAGCGGUGAAAUGCGUAGAGAUUAGGAGGAACACCAGUGGCGAAGGCGGCUUUUUGGCCUGUAACUGACACUGAGGCGCGAAAGCGUGGGGAGCAAACAGGAUUAGAUACCCCUGUAGUCCCUGUCUCUUAUAC
This 303-nucleotide ribosomal RNA is filed under the name uncultured bacterium. RNAcentral's name for it is "partial 16S ribosomal RNA". It matches the Rfam family "Bacterial small subunit ribosomal RNA", at positions 507 to 807 of the family's 1533-position model. The record is from RNAcentral.